AUUGAACGCUGGCGGCAGGCCUAACACAUGCAAGUCGAGCGGAUGAAGGGAGCUUGCUCCUGGAUUCAGCGGCGGACGGGUGAGUAAUGCCUAGGAAUCUGCCUGGUAGUGGGGGAUAACGUCCGGAAACGGGCGCUAAUACCGCAUACGUCCUGAGGGAGAAAGUGGGGGAUCUUCGGACCUCACGCUAUCAGAUGAUCCUAGGUCGGAUUAGCUAGUUGGUGGGGUAAAGGCCUACCAAGGCGACGAUCCGUAACUGGUCUGAGAGGAUGAUCAGUCACACUGGAACUGAGACACGGUCCAGACUCCCACGGGAGGCAGCAGUGGGGAAUAUUGGACAAUGGGCGAAAGCCUGAUCCAGCCAUGCCGCGUGUGUGAAGAAGGUCUUCGGAUUGUAAAGCACUUUAAGUUGGGAGGAAGGGCAGUAAGUUAAUACCUUGCUGUUUUGACGUUACCAACAGAAUAAGCACCGGCUAACUUCGUG
RNAcentral lists this ribosomal RNA (484 nucleotides) under uncultured bacterium. RNAcentral describes it as "partial 16S ribosomal RNA". It matches the Rfam family "Bacterial small subunit ribosomal RNA", at positions 30 to 507 of the family's 1533-position model. The record is from RNAcentral.